Molecule: ribosomal RNA, 742 nt
Filed under: uncultured bacterium
Lineage: Bacteria
Description: bacterial SSU rRNA
Rfam family: Bacterial small subunit ribosomal RNA
Source: RNAcentral
AGAGUUUGAUCAUGGCUCAGGACGAACGCUGGCGGCAGGCCUAAUACAUGCAAGUCGAACGGCUCUUCGGAGCAGUGGCGGACGGGUGAGUAACGCGUGGGAACGUGCCCUUUGGUUCGGAACAACACAGGGAAACUUGUGCUAAUACCGAAUGUGCCCUUCGGGGGAAAGAUUUAUUGCCAUUGGAGCGGCCCGCGUUGGAUUAGCUAGUUGGUGGGGUAAAGGCCCACCAAGGCUACGAUCCAUAGCUGGUCUGAGAGGAUGAUCAGCCACACUGGGACUGAGACACGGCCCAGACUCCUACGGGAGGCAGCAGUAGGGAAUCUUGCGCAAUGGGCGAAAGCCUGACGCAGCCAUGCCGCGUGAAUGAUGAAGGUCUUAGGAUUGUAAAAUUCUUUCACCGGGGAAGAUAAUGACGGUACCCGGAGAAGAAGCCCCGGCUAACUUCGUGCCAGCAGCCGCGGUAAUACGAAGGGGGCUAGCGUUGCUCGGAAUUACUGGGCGUAAAGGGCGCGUAGGCGGACAUUUAAGUCAGAGGUGAAAGCCCAGGGCUCAACCUUGGAAUUGCCUUUGAUACUGGAUGUCUUGAGUUCGGGAGAGGUGAGUGGAAUGCCGAGUGUAGAGGUGAAAUUCGUAGAUAUUCGGCGGAACACCAGUGGCGAAGGCGACUCACUGGCCCGAUACUGACGCUGAGGCGCGAAAGCGUGGGGAGCAAACAGGAUUAGAUACCCCGGUAGUCCAA